Molecule: ribosomal RNA, 468 nt
Filed under: uncultured bacterium
Lineage: Bacteria
Description: partial 16S ribosomal RNA
Rfam family: Bacterial small subunit ribosomal RNA
Source: RNAcentral
GACGAACGCUGGCGGCGUGCUUAACACAUGCAAGUCGAACGGAAAGGCUCCAGCUUGCUGGCGUUCUCGAGUGGCGAAGGGGUGAGUAACACGUGGGUGAUCUGUCCUGCACUUAGGGAUAAGCCUGGGGAACUGGGUCUAAUACCGGAUAUGAUCGCUAUAUGGGGUGUGUGGUGGAAUGGAUUUCCUUGUUUGUGAUUAGCAUGGGGGGUACCUGUUUGUUUGGGGGGUAAUGGCCGACCAAGACGGCGAAGGGUAGCGGUACAGAGGGGGUGGACGGUCGCACAGGGACUGACAGGAGGCCCAGGUACCGACGGGAGGCAGCUGGGGGGAAUAUUGCACAAGGGGGGCAGCCCGGAUGAAGCGACGCCGCGGGGGGGAAGAAGCCCUUAGGGUUGAAAACCCCUUUCGCUAGGGACGAAGCAUUUUGUGACGGUACCUGGAGAAGAAGCACCGGCUAACUACGUG